This 424-nucleotide ribosomal RNA is filed under the name uncultured prokaryote. RNAcentral's name for it is "bacterial SSU rRNA". It matches the Rfam family "Bacterial small subunit ribosomal RNA", at positions 355 to 796 of the family's 1533-position model. The record is from RNAcentral.
UGGGGAAUCUUAGACAAUGGGGGCAACCCUGAUCUAGCCAUGCCGCGUGAGUGACGAAGGUCUUAGGAUCGUAAAGCUCUUUCGCCGGGGAAGAUAAUGACGGUACCCGGUAAGGAAGUCCCGGCUAACUCCGUGCCAGCAGCCGCGGUAAUACGGAGGGUGCAAGCGUUAUCCGGAAUCACUGGGCGUAAAGGGCACGUAGGCGGUCUUGUAAGUCCGAUGUUAAAGCGUGGGGCUCAACCCCAUCACGGCGUUGGAUACUGCUAGGCUUGACGACUGGAGAGGUGAGUAGAAUUACCAGUGUAGCGGUGGAAUGCGUAGAUACUGGUAGGAAUACCCAUUGCGAAGGCAGCUCACUGGACAGUACGUGACGCUGAGGUGCGAAAGUGUGGGGAGCAAACCGGAUUAGAUACCCGUGUAGUCC